Molecule: ribosomal RNA, 303 nt
Filed under: uncultured bacterium
Lineage: Bacteria
Description: partial 16S ribosomal RNA
Rfam family: Bacterial small subunit ribosomal RNA
Source: RNAcentral
AGCAGUCGCCACGGGAAUACGAAGGGGGCUAGCGUUGCUCGGAAUCACUGGGCGUAAAGCGCACGUAGGCGGACUCUUAAGUCAGGGGUGAAAUCCCAGAGCUCAACUCUGGAACUGCCUUUGAUACUGGGUAUCUUGAGUAUGGAAGAGGUUAGUGGAAUUGCGAGUGUAGAGGUGAAAUUCGUAGAUAUUCGCAGGAACACCAGUGGCGAAGGCGGCUAACUGGUCCAUAACUGACGCUGAGGUGCGAAAGCGUGGGGAGCAAACAGGAUUAGAUACCCCUGUAGUCCCUGUCUCUUAUAC